This 495-nucleotide ribosomal RNA is filed under the name uncultured bacterium. RNAcentral's name for it is "partial 16S ribosomal RNA". It matches the Rfam family "Bacterial small subunit ribosomal RNA", at positions 28 to 507 of the family's 1533-position model. The record is from RNAcentral.
GACGAACGCUGGCGGCGUGCCUAAUACAUGCAAGUAGAACGCUGAAGGAGGAGCUUGCUCUUCUGGAUGAGUUGCGAACGGGUGAGUAACGCGUAGGUAACCUGCCUGGUAGCGGGGGAUAACUAUUGGAAACGAUAGCUAAUACCGCAUAAGAGUAGAUGUUGCAUGACAUUUGCUUAAAAGGUGCAAUUGCAUCACUACCAGAUGGACCUGCGUUGUAUUAGCUAGUUGGUGGGGUAACGGCUCACCAAGGCGACGAUACAUAGCCGACCUGAGAGGGUGAUCGGCCACACUGGGACGGAGACACGGCCCAGACCCCUACGGGAGGCAGCAGUAGGGAAUCUUCGACAAUGGACGGAAGUCUGGCCGGGCAACGCCGCGGGAGUGAAGAAGGUUGUCGGAUCGUAAAGCUCUGUUGUAAGAGAAGAAAGAGUGGGAGAGUGGAAAGUUCACACUGUGACGGUAUCUUACCAGAAAGGGACGGCUAACUACGUG